CGGACGGCAAAUUUCUGUGCUGAGCUAUCCGAAUUUCUAUUGGAAGAGGAAUUCCUGUAGUGCAGGCUUGAUAACGGAUAAUCAAAUUACACGUUGGCAUUCAAGACAUGCUUAAAAUAUCAGCCUCUCAGCGGUACUGAGCGUGCUAACACCCAUGAACUCUGCACCCUCAGAGCGUGUCGUGGUGCUGACUGAACGCUGUGUGACACUGCACCUGCAGUUACCCCGCGUGAAUCUCCCGUGGUGCCUCUUAACAAACAAUGGAUCCCGAAAAAUGGACACACAGAGCAAUCCUUCUGGCCUGCACGUAAUCUGCAACAGCCAGAAUUUACAAAGAAGAGUUAGGGCACGUUAUGGGCUCAUAACGUGCUUAAUCCCGCUUCAUAAUUCUGUCGCAUUGACAUCAUAU
This 409-nucleotide long non-coding RNA is filed under the name Gallus gallus (chicken). Its description in RNAcentral is "long non-coding RNA NONGGAT008093". The record is from RNAcentral. Lineage: Eukaryota; Metazoa; Chordata; Aves; Galliformes; Phasianidae.